Gavialis gangeticus (Gharial) is the source of this 5132-nucleotide long non-coding RNA. RefSeq lists it as uncharacterized. The record is from RefSeq and is a predicted model, not a curated record. Lineage: Eukaryota; Metazoa; Chordata; Crocodylia; Gavialidae. The transcript has 5 exons.
GGGAUCCGAUUCCUUGACUGGUCUAGCAAAAGCCAUGGGGAGCCAUGUAUUCUAGCCCACCCAGCAUUCAAGGAUUUCCAGGAUCACUGGAUUUACAGAAGCACCAUAACCUCUGCUGAAGAUCAGCUAUGGAUGGACCAUCUUGGAAAACCAGAUGUAGCUCCUUUUUUUUUUCUUCUUCUUUUGCUGCCAAAGUGGAUGGGGUGUCUCCAUUCUCUGAGGAUUAUAUGUCGUUGGAAAUUUUGUCAUUUUUACUGGAAUACCUUCUGUUACGUUUCACAGGGAGGAGAAACCGUUGUUGUAUUCGGGAGAUAUUUUCCAGGCCCCCUUACUUACACAUCUUCAAGCACAGGAUCACUCUGUGGCAGGUGAUUUGGUGACUGAUGGCAAAGUUGAUGUGGCCUCUGCUUUUCUCUCAUCUAUUCUGGACUUUCAAAAGGAUGUUGGAUUUUGGAGAUGUGAUGGAUUUUGAAUUCUGCAUCCCAAAGCUUUGCAAAAGGAAAAAAGAUGGAGCUGAGCACUACCAAAUAGAGUGGCUACUGCUGUUGUGAAAGAUGCAGUGACACUGGAAUACACUGAGCCAAGAGAAGAGGACGUGGCAGGUUAUGGUCCAAAGAAGUCUCCUGCCCUCUCUGAGUGGGAGGAUGAUGCUACACAACGAGGAUCUGCAGAUCUGCCUGGAAAAUAUGAACCAUGAGAACAUCCAGCCACCAUUAGAUAAGUAUUACAGUGACUCACAUUGUCAUAGUAUUGAUAGAGAUGGCCUUUAUAAAAAGAUAGCAGUCCAGUGGCUGACACACAAAACUGGGAGUCUUUUUUCCUGCCUUUGACACCUCGCUGUUCUUCUGACUUCCUCUGUUUUCAUGAACAGCACAAUCCCUUGCUUGCGAUUCAUUCACCUAAACAGUAAUGCAGACACAUUGCCAGACCGAAGAGGUGGGACAGUGAUAAUUAUUUAGUUUCUGCAAAGUUACUAAGAUCAUGUGUAUUAAUUACCUAGACAGACAAAACUCCUGGGGCAGAGGUGAUAUCUUUUAUUAGAUGAACAAGAUAGUGAUAAUUAAUUAUAUUGCCUAGACAUUUUUGUAUUGCUUAGAUGUUUUUUAAGCAUGCAGUUAGUGGCUUUCCUGUUUUCUGGGGUUUUUUUUCAUCUUUUUCCAGCAUCUGAUUUCUGUCUUGGGACCAGCAGCCCAGAGUGCAAGAGCAGAACCCGACUUCUGCUUCCUCCAUCCUCUCAGCCCUGCCUUUCCGCUGACACGACCUUCUGCUGCAGGUGGGGCCAUGGCUGGUGCACGAGCUGGCUCUGCCACCUGUGUCAUUUGGAAAGCAGCAGUUUCCCCGUGCAUGAAGGGAAUCUUGCAUUGGCCAUGGCAGAGUGAGUAGCACUGCAUCACACUGGGCUGUGCCCCGAAUACAGCAUCAGAUCAUAGAUCAGCCAUGGACAAAGGGUGGGUCAUGCUUCCAAGCCAUGGGAAUCCAUGCAAACUGCAUCAUAUACUGAAGCAUGAUGCAAGGCAAUGGGAAUAAUGAAGAAUGUUAAUAUAUUGCAGCAUAUUGGUUCAAUGAAGAGUGCUGCAUUUCAGCACAUUGCACGGCACUGAAACCCAUUCCACCACUGACUGCUAAAAACCCUUCACAUCUUUUUUUUUUUUCCCCUUGACACCUGUUACCCCCUAUUUUAAGCUUUGUGUGCAAAGUAAGGGAGCUGCAAUAGAAGCAGCGCUGCGCAGACCAAGACCACUGAGGCCAUUUUUGUCUACCAGUAACUUGAGCAUCUUUCAGAUAAACCUUUUUCCGUCUCUGCUGUGCAUGAAAGUUGAAUUCAGUCUCAUUUUUACAGUAGUGAGUGCUGCUGAUUGUUCCUUCGGCAUUUCUCAAAUUCUUGGUAUCUAUGAAUUAUGAUCUAGCUCCACAGUCAGGGGCUCCUAUCAUAAAAAGUAAAAAAUGGUGCACACUCCAAUCAGUAACCUUCAGUGACCCCAUCUGCCCUGGAUUUGGUAUGCUCUCCAAUGAUAGCUUGAGCCUGCUGUACAAAGUGUGAUUUCUUCCUAGUGGUGAUUUGUCUAGCUUCCCAGACAAAAGACUUCAGAAAGCUUAUGAAGGUAGAGAAGCAGGAGGAAAAGGAAGCCUGCUUGAGAGGAGUGUAAGGGCAGUCAAGCGAAAGCAAAACCUUUCCAUCUGCAGUUGUUUACUUUGAAAACCAAACCAGUUUCCCUUGAUGUCAGUGACCUCAGGGAGAGCAAGAUUUGGUGCUUAUUGGAGUACCGGAGGAGGUGCCACUGCCAUCUUUCCCUUUGGAUAGAAGGGCUUCAGCACUGAGUUCCACUGAUUUAACUAAAAUAGAGACUUCACUCUGUUUUCAUUCAGCUAAACCAAUGCAAGUUUAUGUGGAGACUUUGUCUAAUGAUCAUAGGGUCUGUCUUCUGCUCUUUUUGUGAAACUGCCAUCACGAAGGGGAUGAAGCAAAAGAUGUAUCCACUGUGACUUGUCCUUCUGGAAGGGACUGCCAACAUAGACCACCCCCUGGUCUAUUUGUCAUCUAACCCUGCAAAGAGUGGGCUUGGACCACGUGGUGUCUAAAAUUCCACUGGCCACCCAGAGGCCUUCUUUCACUAGGCUCCCUUUCUUACUACCAUUGGUAGUAGGAAUAGUAAGAAACAUUAAGACAAAAAGACUAACACAGACAAGGCCAAAAGGAAGGAGUGGACAGGAUAGGGGCAAUACCAGAUCACCAAGGCACAGAAAAUGUUCUAAUGUGCAUCUAAAGAUACACCGUCAUGUGGCCCCUGUUGAAUAGCAUUGUGGUUGCUCUGGCUAACCUUGAUAAUCAUUUUUCUACUGCAAUUAUCAGUCUAAGUGGGUAGGUGGGACAGCAGGCCUGUUAUGGCUUUUAUCUUCCCAGAACCUGGGAACAAAGCCCAUCGAGGAGGAAACUGGCUUGACCAGUUGGGGGGCUGUGUAUGUAACGGUUAGGGAGUUCAAAGGAAAAGGAUGCAACAGUCAAAUUCACAAACACAUCUGGGGUUCAACUGAUAAAGUUGCAUUUUUCAGUGAAAGACAGUCUUAAAGGGACGUUGUCAAGUGGCCAAAACCAAUGUUAGUUUUGUUUAAAAACAGGAAAGAGACUUCCAUGAAGACUAAUAGGAACCAAAAUGGUUCCUCUGUGGUUUUGCAUAUUCCAGACAAACCAUGACUGUUCCUAUCAAGGAUGACCAAUUUCUGUUUGCACAAUGCAUUGGCUAGUUUCCACUUUCUUCCUCAAACUGGUUCUUGCUAUUUAAAAGGGUUUUCAGUGGAGCUGAGAUGAGGGGCCCAGUGUUUUUAUCCAGAUGACACCUGGGAUGGUGCCCAAUCAUGUGAUGACAACAUUGUGCUGGUCUAUGAAACAUGGGAAGUGAAAGCAGGCAGGUGAUGGUCUGGGCUGAAAGAAAUGCAGAAAGCAAACCAACUGCUUUUCCAGUUAAAAAGUCAGGGAGGGCUACCAGUUGAUUUCAGUGUCAAGAUUAGAAAGUAUGGGGCUUCAUGCUCAUGCACAGUGCUUGCUCACAGUCAACUGCAUUAUGUUAACGGUUGUAUUUAUUUGCACAAGGUAAGGCAUUAAUUUGAGUGGAGACUUGCACCUGAUUCUUUAAAAGUCAGAGCCUCAGAAAGCAUGUUGCACACUAGAGGUUGCAGUAGGAAUAUACCACAGGUGCUACAGUUCUGGGGCUACAGACCAAGAGAAGUGAGAUCCCAGGGAUUUGACGGGGAUAGUACCUGCACCCCACGCCCAGUGCAGGGUCCUUGCUGAAGAGCCUAUAGAAUCCAAGGAUUUGUGUCGACACAUUUUUCCCUGGUUUAAAAAAACUGUAGUUAAGUUGAAGAAAAUCCUGUGAGGAUGAGUAUACAUUAUAUUCAAGUGGGUUCUCAGGAUGGUUUGUACACUGCCACUACUACAAUGCUAGCGAUAACUGAACUAUCUAGUUUUAAAAGAGCUCAAGUACAUCUACACCAGCUACCCGUACACCUUUGACUGCCCUGUAGAUGAGACGCAAGGUCUCUGUUGUAGAACAAAACCCUAAAACUGAGUUCCCCAAGAGCGGCGUCGAGAGACGUAACAACCAGACCACCUUUUCUUUGCUAAGGGCUGUAUCCGUGCUUCUUGGAAUUUCUUUGAGCCUCACACUAGGGAUUUUCUUGGAGAUUUCUUCUUUAGGAUGAAAUCUAGCUGAAGUCUAGCAGCGAGUGUAAUACAGUGAACAAAGAGCAAGAGAAUGUCAGUCUGACAGCAGCACUGAAAGAAACUAUUGAAAUGAACUCUCUGGCUGGGGUUCGCUACCCAUGAAUGCAGUUACCUGUAGAUCCUCAUGUGCUGCAGGAACGAAAUGCAAGGAAAAAGACUGCUAACACAAAAGCCAAACUCCCUUCCCAGCUUAGACGACGAUGCCUUCUGGAGAAGCAGUGUAGAAGUGGAGGAACUUGCAUACAGUGCCAUUGCCAGACCGUUAUAUCCUGUGGACAAGGACAUCUUUGUUUCCCAGGCCUGUCACUGAGCCCAUAGCCUACAUUUAUGGCAUUGCUGCUGCUCCCGUAGCUACGAUGGUGGGCACCCUUGAUAUAGACACAGCUCGGCCAGAAGAAGGAGCCUUUCCUAACCCUACCUGACACCACUGUGACACAAGAACCUAUAGAUAUGGACAAGACCUCAGUUGACUUGAGAGUUCGAGAAGGAAUAGCAUUAGUUGGAGGCUCAGUGUAUACCUAGCCACAACAAGUAGCACACCGGUUUUGUUGGACUUGCCACGACAUCUCAUGAAAAGCUGAACUCACAUGUGAUAUAAGCAGCAGAGAAAUGUUUUCAAAUGAACCCAGCUUCUGAUGAAUGGUUUUGAAGAACAUGUUGGUUUGGCCUUGCAAGGUCCCUGUGCUGGAAGUGUUUAUCAGCGGGGAGCUGUCAUGCUUUUCAAGUGCUAGAAAAGAUUUUGUUUGCAGCCCAGAAUCUCUGUCUGUAUAGAAUAAUGUUUGCCGUUUGGAGAAUUGUUGUUUCUAACCAAGAUAAUUUUUCCCUAGUUUUAUCGCAUGUGAGAAAACAAGUGGACCUUGAAUUGCAUUUUAAUGUCAGAUUUCAAUUAUAUGGCUAUAACAAAAGGUUA